CUGUGUGUUUAAUAGCCAGAUCAGAGUGGAUCUGUCUGACAACUGGAGUCAGGAUUUGGGUACCCAGUGUGAGCAUAACCAGGUCUACCCAGAUGCCACAGAGGAGUUGCUAGAUGACUCAUCUUCCAGGGCCGAGUGGUCAUUGCCUUAUUUUGGAAGCCUUCCAGACACACCCCCAGGUCAAAAUCAGCCCCAUUUGCACAGUCAGAGAG
Tupaia belangeri chinensis (Chinese tree shrew) is the source of this 212-nucleotide long non-coding RNA. RefSeq lists it as uncharacterized. The record is from RefSeq and is a predicted model, not a curated record. Lineage: Eukaryota; Metazoa; Chordata; Mammalia; Scandentia; Tupaiidae. The transcript has 3 exons.